UAGAAAGAAAGAAGAGUCUGUCGCGGAGGAGCGACGGCGUUGUCUCUCCGCCGCAGAGGUGGUACGUGCCGCUGGAUUUGGCGGCGGAAGAAGCCCGUGCCAAAAGGAUCGGUGUUGCACCGUGUCGCCGUGCUCGAACACCGGUUAGCUCAGUUAAGCUUAGAAAUGGAAGCAAGCAGUGUAUCAAGCUCGUCAACAGUGCAUACUCUUGAGAGCCCAUCCAUAUGGCAAGAAUCCAGCAAGAGACAACAAUUUGGCUCCUCUCAAAGCUUGAUGGAAGAAUCCCAGAACACCAUGAUUGCAGCCAGCACAGAGUUAGCACCGGCAGGCAUGAUUUACUGGUGCGAAUUGUUGAACAGCAAAAGGUGAAGAGUUCAGCUACAGAGCAGCUGGUUCCAGAUGCGAGAGAUUCUAUUAGUACCCAAAAGAGUAAGGAGAAGCAGAGGAUUUUAAAGAGUUGGCUCUGCAAAAGAUUCCUAGGAUGCUAAUUACUCUGCUGUAUGUAGUCAUCUAGAAAAGCUGUUGAUGUUUAAAAUUUAUAUUGACACAUUGUGUCAGCAGUGAUCGAAUGACAUUUACCAACUUAAGUAUGAUCAUAGAUACA
Molecule: non-coding RNA, 604 nt
Organism: Phoenix dactylifera (date palm)
Lineage: Eukaryota; Viridiplantae; Streptophyta; Magnoliopsida; Arecales; Arecaceae
Source: RefSeq, a predicted model, not a curated record